UGUUAAAGCUUUCAUCAAUUUCUACUAAUAAAAACUGGCAUGGCUAAGGGAUAACCAGACAGUUACAGCUAGCAUGCCACUUGUACCACAUUUUGACGUAUAAUGACUAGUUUUUAACAAUAGAAAUGUAUGAAAUUUUUAAUA
Non-coding RNA from Gossypium arboreum, 144 nucleotides. The record is from Rfam. Lineage: Eukaryota; Viridiplantae; Streptophyta; Magnoliopsida; Malvales; Malvaceae.